Molecule: ribosomal RNA, 654 nt
Filed under: uncultured bacterium
Lineage: Bacteria
Description: bacterial SSU rRNA
Rfam family: Bacterial small subunit ribosomal RNA
Source: RNAcentral
GGGGAUAACUACUGGAAACGGUAGCUAAUACCGCAUAACGUCGCAAGACCAAAGAGGGGGACCUUCGGGCCUCUUGCCAUCGGAUGUGCCCAGAUGGGAUUAGCUUGUUGGUGGGGUAACGGCUCACCAAGGCGACGAUCCCUAGCUGGUCUGAGAGGAUGACCAGCCACACUGGAACUGAGACACGGUCCAGACUCCUACGGGAGGCAGCAGUGGGGAAUAUUGCACAAUGGGCGCAAGCCUGAUGCAGCCAUGCCGCGUGUAUGAAGAAGGCCUUCGGGUUGUAAGGUACUUUCAGCGGGGAGGAAGGGAGUAAAGUUAAUACCUUUACUCAUUGACGUUACCCGCAGAAGAAGCACCGGCUAACUCCGUGCCAGCAGCCGCGGUAAUACGGAGGGUGCAAGCGUUAAUCGGAAUUACUGGGCGUAAAGCGCACGCAGGCGGUUUGUUAAGUCAGAUGUGAAAUCCCCGGGCUCAACCUGGGAACUGCAUCUGAUACUGGCAAGCUUGAGUCUCGUAGAGGGGGGUAGAAUUCCAGGUGUAGCGGUGAAAUGCGUAGAGAUCUGGAGGAAUACCGGUGGCGAAGGCGGCCCCCUGGACGAAGACUGACGCUCAGGUGCGAAAGCGUGGGGAGCAAACAGGAUUAGAUACCCU